RNAcentral lists this ribosomal RNA (477 nucleotides) under uncultured organism. RNAcentral's name for it is "partial 16S ribosomal RNA". It matches the Rfam family "Bacterial small subunit ribosomal RNA", at positions 331 to 799 of the family's 1533-position model. The record is from RNAcentral.
GUACACUCCUACGGGAGGCAGCAGUGGGGAAUAUUGCACAAUGGGCGCAAGCCUGAUGCAGCCAUGCCGCGUGUAUGAAGAAGGCCUUCGGGUUGUAAAGUACUUUCAGCGGGGAGGAAGGCGAUAAGGUUAAUAACCUUGUCGAUUGACGUUACCCGCAGAAGAAGCACCGGCUAACUCCGUGCCAGCAGCCGCGGUAAUACGGAGGGUGCAAGCGUUAAUCGGAAUUACUGGGCGUAAAGCGCACGCAGGCGGUCUGUCAAGUCGGAUGUGAAAUCCCCGGGCUCAACCUGGGAACUGCAUUCGAAACUGGCAGGCUAGAGUCUUGUAGAGGGGGGUAGAAUUCCAGGUGUAGCGGUGAAAUGCGUAGAGAUCUGGAGGAAUACCGGUGGCGAAGGCGGCCCCCUGGACAAAGACUGACGCUCAGGUGCGAAAGCGUGGGGAGCAAACAGGAUUAGAAACCCCAGUAGUCCCAUG